Long non-coding RNA from Phascolarctos cinereus (koala), 599 nucleotides. RefSeq lists it as uncharacterized. NCBI's taxonomy places the organism in Eukaryota, Metazoa, Chordata, Mammalia, Diprotodontia, Phascolarctidae. The record is from RefSeq and is a predicted model, not a curated record.
GUUUCUAUUUGGGAGAGAUGUGUAGAGAGGAAAAGACUUUGGAAGCUACAGACAUGUAGGGGAAACCGAGUCCUCAACAGUUCCCUGAAUUUCAGCUUGCCUCCUUAAAGACUGCAGCCAGAGAAUUUCUCCUUGUGCAAUUGGGAUUAAGUGACUUGCCCAGGAUCACCCAGCUAGUGAGGAAGCUGAAACCCAGACAAGUCAGGAGAUCACGGAUCCAGAGCUAGAAGGAAACUCAGAGGUCAUCGAGGGCAGCCCCUUCAUUUUACAUGUGAGGAAACCGAGGUCCGGGGAGGAUAAAUAAGAUCACACUGGUGAGGAAACUGAGACUCAGAAAGAUGAUGUAACUUCCCUAGGCUUGCAUAGAUAAUAAAUGCUGGAGUCUGGAUUUGAAUACAUGUUUUCAGACUCUAAGUGCAGGCUCUUUUUACUACCCCCUAUUGGUUUUCUUCUGCUCUCAGCCUUCAAGACCUAGUCUAUCAGUCUCUCCUGAAUGUCUUCCCUGAUAUGAUUCUUUUUCUGAAAGUGGGAGAGUGCAGUAGGAUGUGUGUGUGUUUGCGUGUGUGUGCAUGUGUGUGUGUGUGUGUUGUGUGUGUGUG